Molecule: long non-coding RNA, 712 nt
Filed under: Gouania willdenowi (blunt-snouted clingfish)
Lineage: Eukaryota; Metazoa; Chordata; Actinopteri; Blenniiformes; Gobiesocidae
Description: lncRNA (ENSGWIG00000006468.1)
Source: RNAcentral
AACAAAAGCAUCCUCUGGGAAUUAAUUUACGUUAUAGUUUUUAACAAGUAUAUUUACAAUAUAUAUAUAUAUAUAUACAAAUACUCACCCCAGAAUCAGCAGAUCAGAGGUGUUUUCAUCAGCAAAUCUCGGACAGGAAUUUAAAGUAACCUUCUUCCUCCUCCUUUCAUGUCGUGCAUUAAAACUUGUCUCUCUUUUAGAGCUCAGACAUUGAGAUGUUGAGUAGUAAAUUGUUUAGGCUUACCACUAUCACAUCACUGCCCGCCUCUCUCCUCAAGGUCAAAUUAAACAUUCUCUCUGAGUUGUUUCUGUUUUCAACUUACGGGAAAGAAAAAACCUCAGAUUUUUACUAGAGUUGUGACCUGACAUCAACCCAAAGCACAGCAUUGAGACGAGUAGGAUGUGAAGAUAAGUGGGGAGAGCCAUGGAAAAGCUGGGAUAUGUGGUCUGUCUGCUGCUGCUGACUGGGAUACUGGUGAAUGUGGAGACAAAAUGUGUGUGCUCAAGGAAAUCUAAAUGUAACUGUGAUGGAGUGAAAGGCAGCAGGGGUGACAAAGGUGUCCCAGGACCUUCAGGUUCCCCUGGGCUUCAGGGGCAUCCAGGACCUCAUGGCUCCUUUGGACCAAAGGGACCAAAGGUAUCAAAUACAGCCUCACUUCUCUUUUGUUUCUCUCUGUACCUCUAUUGGUAAUCUCACUCCCCUGAUAUUAAA